RNAcentral lists this ribosomal RNA (434 nucleotides) under uncultured Lachnospiraceae bacterium. RNAcentral describes it as "partial 16S ribosomal RNA". It matches the Rfam family "Bacterial small subunit ribosomal RNA", at positions 341 to 792 of the family's 1533-position model. Lineage: Bacteria; Bacillati; Bacillota; Clostridia; Lachnospirales; Lachnospiraceae. The record is from RNAcentral.
ACGGAAGGCAGCAGUGGGGAAUAUUGGACAAUGGGGGAAACCCUGAUCCAGCGACGCCGCGUGAGUGAAGAAGUAUUUCGGUAUGUAAAGCUCUAUCGAUGGGGAAUAAGAUGAAGGUACCCAAGUAAGAAGCCCCGGCUAACUACGUGCCAGCAGCCGCGGUAAUACGUAGGGGGCAAGCGUUAUCCGGAUUUACUGGGUGUAAAGGGAGCGUAGACGGAAUAGCAAGUUUGGAGUGAAAUACCUGUGCUUAACGCAGGAAUUGCUUUGAAAACUGUUAAUCUAGAGUACUGGAGGGGUAUGGGGAAUUCCUAGUGUAGUAGUGAAAUGCGUAGAUAUUAGGAAGAACACCGGAGGCGAAGGCGCCAUACUGGACAGAUACUGACGUUGAGGCUCGAAAGCGUGGGGAGCAAACAGGAUUAGAUACCCUGGUA